This 1976-nucleotide ribosomal RNA is filed under the name Triticum aestivum (bread wheat). RNAcentral describes it as "partial small subunit ribosomal RNA". Lineage: Eukaryota; Viridiplantae; Streptophyta; Magnoliopsida; Poales; Poaceae. The record is from RNAcentral.
GCGCACGCACCAGUUUCUCUACCUCUGCGCUCCGCUAGCUAGCCGAUCGACUAGCCCGUUGGUCUAUUGGUUCGUACAGGUACACGCGAAAUCGGACUGACGUGCCCUAAUCGUCUCCUUCCUCCUCCCUUCGCUCAUCCAUCGAUUCGCUGUCUGCCUGCCUGCCUGCAGACACAACCGCCGCCGACGGACGUCGUGCCCUUCCACCUACGCCACAUCCGCGGUAGAGAAGAGGCCGGGUCAGGCGGACUGAGAUCGUCCGAUGGUGGCAUGCGGGGGAGGGGGCAGAGGCCGCCAGGCCGGUGCUUGUUGAGGCCGCCUAGAGAGGAAGGAGGAGCGAGGAGGCGGGGCGGCGCGUAAGAAGUCCUCCGCACAGACUUUUGGUAGGAACUGUGGUGUCCUGUCUUCGAUUCGUCUAGUCGUCCCCUGACUCCUCCUCUGAACUAGGACGAGGAUGUAGUCCCGGCCGGCCCUUCUACCCAAAGGACAGCGACGAGCACCACCGGAGGUACGGGUAGCACGUCCAGGACGAGUAGCCGCAGUAGCCUCGGAAGGAGCGGAGCCCCAUGUCGUUCCAGGAGUGGCGGUCGCGGGCGUCCCUGUACUUGUUCCAACAAAAAUGUCAGAAGUGGGGUAGAGAGUAGAAGCGGUUGGAGCGGUUCUGCCAGUGUGAGAGGCUGCAGUAGAGGACCACCAAGUACGGCCACUUGUAUCGUUAGUGUAAGGACCAACCGUCACGAGAUCCGACCGAUCGCACGUUCUAGGACUUUGGCGGCGGCGUAAAGGCACCGGAGUAGUACCGGAAGACGAGUCGUCCUUUGGAGCCUUUGAACGACGACUAGCAGCAGGGCCGGCAAACGCUGCUUCUGCCAUUGGGCAAACCCUCGCUGGCCUUGGUCACGGCGAGCGCGCCGGAGAGGAUGAGCAGCGACAGGUACCGAGAGCCACCGGAGAAGUAUACCUGCAUGUGGAUGUCAGACUACGUCUUCAGACCGUUCGACAUGGUGUUCUACGUCAGGUUCUCGUAGGUCACGGGCCGGCUGUCACUGCUCCUCGUAGAGCUCCCUAAGUUUCGGCCGCUGCUCCUUCGCCGAGAGGGCCGCAGGCGAUCUGGACUUCUUGUCUUACUCCCCUCGGUCUAACUCCGAGGUGAGGACAGCACGCUCUCGCUACAGCGGUUGUUGUUUCCCAAGACCUGCUUGGACUUCCUCCGGCACGUGGUCGAGUAGCUCCUCGAGUACCGCGGCGGCUGGUAUAGGCGCUAUUAACCUAAGCAACAACCCGAUCACGGUACCGACUUCAGCGACUAGUAGCCGCUUCCGCGGGGAGAGUCUCAAUAGGUCCUAAGAGACCUCAACUACCCGUUACCGUGAUAUGGGACGUAGUGGGAGUAGGAGCCUCCUUUGGACUGGGUUCCCGACGCCUUCAGCCACGACUUCGCGUGCCACUAGUACCGCUAGCACACGUAGGCGAUGCACCGAUACGGCCAAUAGCCCUAGCGACAGCACGCGCACCGUGUGCCGCAACCCAAGGAAGGGGUGCUGGGCGAGAUGGCGAUGCACGACUACUACGUUAGGCGGGACGGCGGGCGGUACUUGUAGCCCUGGUACCGUGUCGACAAGCUGCAGCCCGUCCUCCUCACGAGCCACUAGAAGGACACCUGCAUGGAGCAGCGCCGGCACCGCGAGUGGUGGACCAGGUGGCAAAAGUACAGGUAGGAGAGGACUUCGUCCGUUGGUGCUCGUCAAGUUAAAACAUUCCCCAGUCCCUCUUAAGGGCAUCUAAGGUAAACAUUUCACAAGUAAUGUCUCAAACAUUCAUCUGUGCGGUAAGAAAGACAUAUGAUUUAUGAUCAGGUAAAAAAGACCUUUUUAUAUGACCAGGUAAAAGUCGGACAGGACGAAAACGUUGUCUGACGUGAUCACCUUCCUAGGGACACUACCUUACUAGUUCGUGAUUAAGUAAUAUUUUAGCUU